GGACCCGCACAAGUAGUGGAGCAUGUGGUUUAAUUCGAAGAUACGCGCAGAACCUUACCAACACUUGACAUGUUCGUCGCGACUCUAAGAGAUUAGAGUUUUCGGUUCGGCCGGACGAAACACAGGUGCUGCAUGGCUGUCGUCAGCUCGUGUCGUGAGAUGUUGGGUUAAGUCCCGCAACGAGCGCAACCCUCACUUUUAGUUGCCAUCAUUAAGUUGGGCACUCUGAAAGAACUGCCAGUGAUAAGCUGGAGGAAGGUGGGGAUGACGUCAAGUCCUCAUGGCCCUUACGUGUUGGGCUACACACGUGCUACAAUGGUAUCUACAACAGGAAGCAAGACUGCGAGGUCAAGCAAAUCCUUAAAAGAUACCUCAGUUCGGAUUGCACUCUGCAACUCGACUCUAUGAAGCUGGAAUC
Molecule: ribosomal RNA, 418 nt
Filed under: uncultured bacterium
Lineage: Bacteria
Description: bacterial SSU rRNA
Rfam family: Bacterial small subunit ribosomal RNA
Source: RNAcentral